RNAcentral lists this ribosomal RNA (458 nucleotides) under uncultured bacterium. Its description in RNAcentral is "partial 16S ribosomal RNA". It matches the Rfam family "Bacterial small subunit ribosomal RNA", at positions 29 to 507 of the family's 1533-position model. The record is from RNAcentral.
AACGAACGCUGGCGGCAUGCCUAACACAUGCAAGUCGAACGAGACCUUCGGGUCUAGUGGCGCACGGGUGCGUAACGCGUGGGAACCUGCCCUUAGGUUCGGAAUAACUCCCCGAAAGGGGUGCUAAUACCGGAUAAUGUCUUCGGACCAAAGAUUUAUCGCCUUUGGAUGGGCCCGCGUUGGAUUAGCUAGUUGGUAGGGUAAAAGCCUACCAAGGCGACGAUCCAUAGCUGGUCUGAGAGGAUGAUCAGCCACACUGGGACUGAGACACGGCCCAGACUGCGACGGGAGGAAGCAGUAGGGAAUCGUCAGCAAUGGGGGAAAGCCGGACGGAGCAACGGGGCGGGAGGGAUGACGGCGUUCGGAUCGGAAAACUAACUGACGAGGGAAGAAGAUAGGGGUAAGUAACUGUGCGCAGCGGGACGGUACCUAAUCAGAAAGCCACGGCGAACUACGUG